This 480-nucleotide ribosomal RNA is filed under the name uncultured bacterium. Its description in RNAcentral is "bacterial SSU rRNA". It matches the Rfam family "Bacterial small subunit ribosomal RNA", at positions 28 to 521 of the family's 1533-position model. The record is from RNAcentral.
GAUGAACGCUGGCGGCGCGCCUAACACAUGCAAGUCGAACGAGAGAUGAAGAGCUUGCUCUUCAAAUCGAGUGGCGAACGGGUGAGUAACGCGUGAGGAACCUGCCUCAAAGAGGGGGACAACAGUUGGAAACGACUGCUAAUACCGCAUAAGCCCACGGCUCGGCAUCGAGCAGAGGGAAAAGGAGCAAUCCGCUUUGAGAUGGCCUCGCGUCCGAUUAGCUAGUUGGUGAGGUAACGGCCCACCAAGGCGACGAUCGGUAGCCGGACUGAGAGGUUGAACGGCCACAUUGGGACUGAGACACGGCCCAGACUCCUACGGGAGGCAGCAGUGGGGAAUAUUGCACAAUGGGGGAAACCCUGAUGCAGCGACGCCGCGUGGAGGAAGAAGGUCUUCGGAUUGUAAACUCCUGUUGUUGAGGAAGAUAAUGACGGUACUCAACAAGGAAGUGACGGCUAACUACGUGCCAGCAGCCGCGGU